This 67-nucleotide transfer RNA is filed under the name Rhynchostegium riparioides. RNAcentral describes it as "tRNA-Tyr". It matches the Rfam family "tRNA", at positions 16 to 71 of the family's 71-position model. Rfam says of the family: Transfer RNA (tRNA) molecules are approximately 80 nucleotides in length. Their secondary structure includes four short double-helical elements and three loops (D, anti-codon, and T loops). Lineage: Eukaryota; Viridiplantae; Streptophyta; Bryopsida; Hypnales; Brachytheciaceae. The record is from RNAcentral.
UGGUUAAUGGGGACGGACUGUAAAUCCGCUGGCAAUGCCUACGCUGGUUCAAAUCCAGCUCGGCCCA